UACGUAGGGAGCGAGCGUUGUCCGGAUUUAUUGGGCGUAAAGGGCGUGUAGGCGGUCUCUUAAGUCUGGAGUGAAACUCCGGGGCUCAACCCCGGAACUGCUUCGGAUACUGAGGGACUUGAGUACUCUAGAGGGCAGUGGAAUUCCCGGUGUAGCAGUGAAAUGCGUAGAGAUCGGGAGGAACACCAGUGGCGAAGGCGACUGCCUGGGGAGAAACUGACGCUGAGGCGCGAAAGCUGGGGGAGCAAACGGGAUUAGAAACCCUCGUAGUCC
Molecule: ribosomal RNA, 273 nt
Filed under: uncultured bacterium
Lineage: Bacteria
Description: partial 16S ribosomal RNA
Rfam family: Bacterial small subunit ribosomal RNA
Source: RNAcentral